AUGGACCGGUGUUUUAGAGCUCAGAUGAUUAUUGAUUAUCUUCUAUGCCUUGACCCAACAAAGAAAAUUGAUUAAACUAGUUCAUUUCCCACAAUAACACUAGGGAUUAGUUUUUCUGAUUUGGUUUGUGCAAUGCUAUAUAUGGUAACUCAGUAAAAUCACUCCAAAAAAAAAAAAAGUCAUUCAACUAUUUUGCACUGUUCAUUUGCUUCAUCACACAGAAUAAGUUACAUAAUGCCAAUUCAAAGGGAGCAAUAAGAAUUCAACACACCAGCUGAGUGACUCUUGAGUUACAUAAAUAAGUUACUAAACCAUUUCUGAUUUCAUAUAUAAUUGUUAUUAGAACUUGUACGUGCAUUCUAGCCUAAAUAAUAUCCUUACAAUUAUGACAAUCAAGGUUCUGUCCAUUUUAAUUUUAUAUUAUAGAAGUUUAACUUAAUAGUUAAUUAGUUUCAUAGCAAUCACUAGUUGCUUCAUCUAAG
RNAcentral lists this long non-coding RNA (482 nucleotides) under Phoenix dactylifera (date palm). RNAcentral describes it as "long non-coding RNA (PDAC_LNC021666)". Lineage: Eukaryota; Viridiplantae; Streptophyta; Magnoliopsida; Arecales; Arecaceae. The record is from RNAcentral.